GAAAGGUUUAGUCCUGUGUUACAUACAGGACUAAAGUAUAGUCCUGAGUAAAGUGUCUGAAACAAGAAGCAUGUGACCACCUGGGCACAUCAUUUUUCUACCUGAGUGGUACUUGGUGUACUAAAGAGAUUAUGGGAUGCAGCACACUUAGACAAGGUGGAAGAAUCUGAGUGGGUCUCAUCACGUUGGAGUUGGUUUUUAUGGGAUAUGGAAAAGAGGCCCGGAUUUCUUCUGAGAGCAGGAGUAGCUGAGGAGCCCCGUGGCAGCAGAGCUCGUGAACUACACUUGUGUGAGAAGACAGGCUGUGAUUCCUUCCUCUGACGCCUGCUCUUACAAUAGGCGUCCCUGCGAGAAGAGUCACCCAGUGGCAUCAAGAGCUCUGGGCAGGAUCCGUCCACUUCCAGAGUGGCCUGAAGAGUGGAACACAUUUCUUUUUAGUUAAAUGAGUUUCUUCGGAAUACAAACAGAAGCUUGCACGAGUAACCCAGGUCCGCAAGGAACUGAAAUCCCAUAUUCAGAGCUUGCCAGACCUCUCACUGCUGCCCAACGUCACAGGGGGCUUAGCCCCCCUGCCCUCUGCUGGGGACCUGUUUUCAACUGACUAGGAUGGGUGUCAUGUCCCAGAUUUCUGUUUGUACCAGCAGAAAGAAGAGGGCAAGUCAUGGUUGGAAAUAACCUUCUAGCCCCUGGUUCUAUCCCUUCUUCCGCCCAGCCCCCCAGCCUCAAGAAAGAACCUCAGACUCUGAUUCUCCUCUUCAGCCUCUCAUCUUGAGCACAGUUCAGAACAGUGGCGACUGGAAUCUGGUUUAUAUUCAUAUUUGCAAAGACUACAGACUUUUUCUCCCACUUCAUAUUUUCAUGCCCCCCUGUUGGUUUUCCAUUCUUAACUGUCUCCUUAUACCUAAGAAGUUAUGAAAAUCAUGUGUACUUCUGGAAGCUUUCGAAAGAAUCUUGUCCCUCAUGACAGCAUUUUAUCAUGAAAGCAGCUUCUCCUUUCUGGGCUGGGCUUGUUCAAGUUCGGUGUGGGCUUCCACUAAGGCACUUGUCCUGGAGACGUUGGCUUUCCCAGCUGCAUCUGCCCCAAAAGGUUGUAGGCACAGCUGUCGUAGCGUUGCCAUAAAGAGUUUGCCAAAUCUCUGAUCCUCCCUUUCCAUUGCUUCUCCUAGUGAUGCACGAAGAUUAGGUGCAUUUAUUUUGUAAACAGAUUGGAGAAUCUAGCAAUAAGAUUCAAAGCUAAUCUGGAGCAUAAAGGCACAGUUCAGAGACAGAAUAACAGGGAUCACAAGCAUGAAUUAAAAGGAAUUUAUUUGCUUCAAGUUCCUAGAUACAACCUUCCCAUGCUGCACUUCUCCACUGUCGGAGCACGUUCCGAAAAACAGAAUGCCUUGAUCCCUGGUGGGUGCGAAGGCAGUUGUUAGGGAUGGCAGGCAUUGGUGGGCUCCAAAAGAUGAAGGCCCCACACACAGGUGUGCUGCAUUUGGGAUCUGUGUGGGUGUUUCUUGGACCCUUUCUUCUGGGAGUAGGGUACACACUAACGUUUAAUCCGCUGUCUGGGUGCAUGUCCACAGUACGGUGGCUAAACUCGAACAUCACUGCAAAUAGGACGCUGAGCAGGUCCGUCUGUCAUGUCACGCCACUGCACAGGUCCUUGUCCCCACACGACGGGGAGUACUUGCGUCAGAUGUUAUUGAAUAGCUCGUCUCGGGCAGGGGAAGCGGGGAGUUGGGGAUAUUAAUUGGGGGUUUUAAUUCUAUUAUCAUGUCAGCUGACAUUAUGACUAUAUAAUGUAGUUAGAGACAAUUUUUAUCUUGCUUAUAGUAAAGGUUCAGCCUGCCAAUUGUAAAUCAUUCUAAUUUGGCAGGCUUAUUUUUGACAUUGGAAAGGGCAGAAAGCGAUUUGCCCCAGUAGUGUAAUAGGAGUUAUAGACCAGAGGCUGAAACCCAAACUAUAUAAAAAGGAAUUCAGUGGAGGGGGCUUUGUAAUCUCCAUUAAUUUGUGUUGCUACUUCCAGGAUCACCAAAAAUUACAUGUAAUUUUACAUGUUAAACACAUUGAAACAUAACCUAUGUUUAUAAAGCAUAACGGGCUUCCCUUCCAGAAGCUCUCCUGCUUGUCAUGAAGUGAGAACAAUGAAAAGUCAUAGCAGAUACUCAGUUUAACUCUGUGUAGAACCUAGUAGUGUUUGAGCUGUUAUUCAGAUUUGAAUUCAGACUGUGUGUUGUUUGCUUAUGGACACUGCCUGUCGUUCUGUCACUGUUAAAUUAAUGAGUCUAUAAGGUUUUUCUUCCAGAGGCCAUAGGUGACAUCACUAAAAUUGCAAGAUAAAUUGUAAUCUUUGCUGCUGCUGCACUCCCCAACCUCUCCCCCACCCCCCGUGGUGUGCUGCUUUCUAGAUGAGCGUGUUUUGGAGCAGGCCCAUCUGGGACACUCUAUGCUUUCACCAAGGAAGUGCGAUCUGAGCAGCCACAAUCCAGCCAAAAGAGGAUCGUAGAUAUUUGCUCUGAUCAACUAGAUGAAAAUAUAGCAGAAUGGAUUUAGCCCACUGCUCUGUUUUAUCCAACUGAGUCUCUGACCAGCAAUUGGUGCAUAAUUAUUACAGCAAAAGUUAAGAAAUGAAACUGUAGCAAUUAUGUAAAUGAAUGUGUUGGCCUCUUAAUACCUGUUACUAGUGGACUUCCUGUGAGGAAGUUAGUUUUUUGUUUUGAUGAAAUGCUUUCGUUUUUUAAAUCUUAAUUCUGCUGUCCACAUCCUCCCAAAGUGUGCUUACUUCAUUUGUUUAAUUUAAAUGAACUUUCCUCCUUGUAUGUAUGAGGUGACUUGGUGGGUGGGGUGGGUGGUUUUUGUUUUUGUGUUUUUUCUUUCUUAGGGCAUCUGUAGGCCUCAAAGGACCUUUCCUUUAGGUCAUAUUCCUCAGAAAGUCUUCAAUCUUCCCUUGUUUUUGUUUGUUUGUUUUUCUUAAAGAAUAUUUUCAAAGCUUAAAUUUGUAUAUUAAUUUAGGACUAUUUAGAAGUAUAGGCUGUCGUUGGCGGCAGCAGUAUAUUCUGAAAUGUCUCAUAGAUAUAUAUUUUUGAAUAAAGAUGGUGUUGUUGAACAACA
This 3096-nucleotide long non-coding RNA is filed under the name Homo sapiens (human). Its description in RNAcentral is "HSALNT0266908". The record is from RNAcentral. Lineage: Eukaryota; Metazoa; Chordata; Mammalia; Primates; Hominidae.